This 380-nucleotide RNase P RNA is filed under the name Chloroflexota bacterium. RNAcentral describes it as "Chloroflexi bacterium RNase P RNA component class A". It matches the Rfam family "Bacterial RNase P class A". Rfam says of the family: Ribonuclease P (RNase P) is a ubiquitous endoribonuclease, found in archaea, bacteria and eukarya as well as chloroplasts and mitochondria. Its best characterised activity is the generation of mature 5'-ends of tRNAs by cleaving the 5'-leader elements of precursor-tRNAs. Lineage: Bacteria; Bacillati; Chloroflexota. The record is from RNAcentral.
CGAGGCGGACGGGUGACCGCCGGCGAAGUAAAUAGCGUUGGAGGAAAGUCCGGGCUCCACAGAGCAGGGCGCUGGGUAACACCCAGUCGGGGCGACCCGAAGGAAAGUGCCACAGAAAAGAACCGCCAGACAGCGUUGAUCUCCGGAGAGGCGCCGUCAGGUAAGGGUGAAAAGGUGGGGUAAGAGCCCACCGGCGGCCGGGUGACCGGCCGGCCAGGUAAACCCCGCCCGGAGCAAGACCAAAUAGGAGGACGUUUUAACGGCGGCUCGCCCAGUCCUCGGGUAUCGGUCGCUAGAGACGCCGGGCAACCGGCGCCCCAGACAGAUGGUCACCGUCCCGCAAGGGACACAGAACCCGGCUUACAGUCCGCCCUCGACCC